RNAcentral lists this ribosomal RNA (253 nucleotides) under uncultured bacterium. RNAcentral describes it as "partial 16S ribosomal RNA". It matches the Rfam family "Bacterial small subunit ribosomal RNA", at positions 524 to 776 of the family's 1533-position model. The record is from RNAcentral.
UACGGAGGGUGCAAGCGUUAAUCGGAAUUACUGGGCGUAAAGCGCACGCAGGUGGCUAAGUCAGUCGAUUGUGAAAGCCCUGGGCUUAACCUGGGAAUUGCAGUCGAUACUACUUAGCUAGAGUAUGGGAGAGGGCAGUGGAAUUCCCGGUGUAGCGGUGAAAUGCGUAGAUAUCAGGAGGAAUACCGAUGGCGAAGGCAGGUCUCUGGGCUGACACUGACGCUCAUGCACGAAAGCGUGGGGAGCAAACAGG